UUACGGUUCGUAUCCUAUUAAUAUAUAAAAUUAGAAAGCGACUGAAAUGUUAUAUUAAUAUACCAUGAGCCGUAAAAGUGCAUGGCGACUUUAUCAAUGAAUUCAUUCAUAAUUUCUCCAUGCAAUUUCGCAGCUCACUGUACAAUAUCGGCACGUCUCUCUAAAGCGCCUGAACCAUGUUUAGCAUUAUAUUUAGUAAUAUUAACCUCACUACAUAUUUUUCCGCGCAUGUUUGAGAAUAAAACUUUUUUUUUAUGAUUUGCUGUAUUUACUUGUUUCUUUAUGUUUUGACCGGAUUGUAUUAUUGACAAAGGUAUGCAAUGCGAUUUUUAUUGUAACUCUAUUCUUAAUUGUUCCAAACAUACUCUUUGCUACACCUAUUUGUAUACUCAUUAACUUACAACUAAAUCAUUGAAAAAGGAAUCGUUUAAUUUCAAUUGCUGUUGAUAUUUGUUGUACAUUGCUUCAGAGAUUACGUUUUAGAUAAGUAUAUUUAUUUGUAAAUGUCAAAAUUGUAAUCUCUGUGGCUGACUGUUAGUUAUGGAAACGUGAGCAUAAAAUACCCACAAGUUUCAUUCAGGCGAGCACAAACUACUUUUUUGCAUACGCCAACCUAACCCCAUACAAAAUGCCAGUUGAAUAAAGCUGACUCCGCCGCCACCGUCGCCAUUUCUGCUCCGAGAUGCUGCUCUUUACUGCGUGAAA
Molecule: long non-coding RNA, 705 nt
Organism: Cydia pomonella (codling moth)
Lineage: Eukaryota; Metazoa; Arthropoda; Insecta; Lepidoptera; Tortricidae
Exons: 2
Source: RefSeq, a predicted model, not a curated record